GGAAGUAAGGGCGAUCUGGCUGUGACAUCUGUCACCCCAUUGAUUGUCAGGGUUGAUUGGGCUGAUCUGGCUGGCUAGGCGGGUGCCCCUUCCUCCCUCACUGCUCCACAUGCGUCCCUCCUGAAGCUGCAUGGUGGGUCCAAGAGGACAACCUUCCCCGCAUCAAGGAGGUCUUGUCUUCAGUCAAGCAUACACGGAUAGCUGUGCUCCCCUAAUAGAACCUCCAAACAAGCUCUCAAGAUUUCCAGCUGCUAGGCGGUCUUCCAGGUGCUGCCCCAUCAUACCUCAAAAGGGGCCCGACUGAAACUAAGGACAAUUGGCGAAACAAGCAAGGGUGCUGUUUU
This 344-nucleotide small nuclear RNA is filed under the name Jaculus jaculus (lesser Egyptian jerboa). RNAcentral's name for it is "7SK RNA (ENSJJAG00000008210.1)". The stretch from base 1 to 292 matches the Rfam family "7SK RNA". Rfam says of the family: 7SK was discovered as an abundant small nuclear RNA in the mid-70s but a possible function has only recently been suggested. Lineage: Eukaryota; Metazoa; Chordata; Mammalia; Rodentia; Dipodidae. The record is from Rfam by way of RNAcentral.